Molecule: ribosomal RNA, 497 nt
Filed under: uncultured bacterium
Lineage: Bacteria
Description: partial 16S ribosomal RNA
Rfam family: Bacterial small subunit ribosomal RNA
Source: RNAcentral
GAUGAACGCUGGCGGCGUGCCUAAUACAUGCAAGUCGAGCGAACGGACGAGAAGCUUGCUUCUCUGAUGUUAGCGGCGGACGGGUGAGUAACACGUGGAUAACCUACCUAUAAGACUGGGAUAACUUCGGGAAACCGGAGCUAAUACCGGAUAAUAUUUUGAACCGCAUGAUUCAAAAGUGAAAGACGGUCUUGCUGUCACUUAUAGAUGGAUCCGCGCUGCAUUAGCUAGUUGGUAAGGUAACGGCUUACCAAGGCGACGAUGCAUAGCCGACCUGAGAGGGUGAGCGGCCACACGGGAACUGAGACACGGUCCAGACUCCUACGGGAGGCAGCAGUAGGGAAUCUUCGGCAAUGGGCGCAAGCCUGAUCCAGCAAUACCGCGUGAGUGAAGAAGGUCUUCGGGUCGUAAAGCUCUUUUGUUGGGGAAGAACAGAAGUGUAAGUAACUGUCGACGUCCUGACGGUACCUAAUCAAAAAGCAACGGCUAACUACGUG